RNAcentral lists this ribosomal RNA (517 nucleotides) under uncultured bacterium. RNAcentral's name for it is "partial 16S ribosomal RNA". It matches the Rfam family "Bacterial small subunit ribosomal RNA", at positions 28 to 507 of the family's 1533-position model. The record is from RNAcentral.
GACGAACGCUGGCGGCGUGCUUAACACAUGCAAGUCGAACGGGCUUCUGGGGUUCUGGCUUUUUUGGUUGGGGUUCUGGGGGUUAGUGGCGAACGGGUGAGUAACACGUGAGUAACCUGCCCUUCACUUCUGGAUAACCGCUUGAAAGGGUGGCUAAUACGGGAUGUUUCUGGGUCUGUCGCAUGGCGGGUUCGGGAAAGAUGGCACUGUUUGGUGUUUUUGGUGGGGGAUGGGCUCGCGGCCUAUCAGCUUGUUGGUGGGGUGAUGGCCUGCCAAGGCUUUGACGGGUCGCCGGCCUGAGAGGGUGGGCGGUCACACUGGGACUGAGAUACGGCCCAGACUCCUACGGGAGGCAGCAGUGGGGAAUAUUGCACAAUGGGCGGAAGCCUGAUGCAGCGACGUCGCGUGAGGGAUGGAGGCCUUCGGGUUGUGAACCUCUUUCGCCAGUGAGGAAGGCCUUGCCCGUGUGGUGGGGUUGACGGUAGCUGGGUUAAUUGAAGCGCCGGCUAACUACGUG